Molecule: ribosomal RNA, 274 nt
Filed under: uncultured bacterium
Lineage: Bacteria
Description: partial 16S ribosomal RNA
Rfam family: Bacterial small subunit ribosomal RNA
Source: RNAcentral
CUACGGAGGGAGCAAGCGUUAUUCGGAAUCACUGGGCGUACAGGACGCGUAGGCGGGUUUGUAAGUCAGGUGUGAAAUCCUACAGCUCAACUGUAGAACUGCACUUGAAACUACAGACCUAGAGUAUGGAAGGGGCAGAUGGAAUUAGUGGUGUAGGGGUAAAAUCCGUAGAUAUCACUAGGAAUACCGAAAGCGAAGGCGAUCUGCUGGGACAUUACUGACGCUGAGGCGUGAAAGCGUGGGGAGCAAACAGGAUUAGAAACCCCAGUAGUCC